RNAcentral lists this ribosomal RNA (467 nucleotides) under uncultured bacterium. RNAcentral's name for it is "partial 16S ribosomal RNA". It matches the Rfam family "Bacterial small subunit ribosomal RNA", at positions 28 to 506 of the family's 1533-position model. The record is from RNAcentral.
GACGAACGCUGGCGGCGUGCUUAACACAUGCAAGUCGAACGGAAAGGCCCUGCUUUUGUGGGGUGCUCGAGUGGCGAACGGGUGAGUAACACGUGAGUAACCUGCCCUUGACUUUGGGAUAACUUCAGGAAACUGGGGCUAAUACCGGAUAGGAGCUCCUGCUGCAUGGUGGGGGUUGGAAAGUUUCGGCGGUUGGGGAUGGACUCGCGGCUUAUCAGCUUGUUGGUGGGGUAGUGGCUUACCAAGGCUUUGACGGGUAGCCGGCCUGAGAGGGUGACCGGCCACAUUGAGUCAGAGAUACGGCCCGGACUCAUGCGGGAGGAAAGAGUGGGGAAUAUUACACAAUGGGCGGAGGCGUGAUGCAGCAACGCCGCGUGCGGGAUGACGGCCUUCGGGUUGUAAACCGCUUUCGCCUGUAGCGAGGCGUGAGUGACGGUAAUGGGUAAAAAGGCACCGGCAAACUACGU